CGUACGCAGACUUGGCCUAUUAGUCAAGGGCCUUCUCAGCCACCGUAGCGGGUGGGAGGGGCUUGGCCUGAGCCUCCGGGAAGUCUGCAGCGACUUGAAUACUGUCCCUGUCACUGGGACGAAUUCCGGAAUAGAGUCCAGGCUUCCUAAGGCUUCUUCUCUGCCUGACUUCGCGUGACUGCCGAAUUCUGAGGCCGUCCCAGGGAUCUGUCUCUGUUUGUAGCGGUGAAUGGUGCUCUCCUCAUGGUAGUCCAGGCUUCCCAAGACCCAAGCCUUAAUGAUCCAAGGACCGGCGCCUUUCUUUGGACAUUCCUUAAUACAUUACUUCCGCCAAUCUGUAAUGCGUCCGAGAGCAUUUCCUUGGGCCCAUGAAAAUACAAUGAAACCUUUACUUAAGGAAAUAAACACCCUGACUCCACGGAUCUGGCGCAUAAGCCCCAGUGUUUGGAAUCGAACGGGCUUAUUUUUAUUUAUUUUACCAGCCAAUUUAAAACAGUUACUAAAUUGAAAUCAGAAGUGCACUGAGCUUAUUCAUAGUUUAUGUAUUUCAUCACCUUGUUCUGUGGAUUAUAUUUUCUAAACGUUAAUCCUCGACAAUCUGCCCUAGAGAGUCUUCCUUCCACAAAGAAAAACAGCUUUCUAACCCCGCAUUUUGUUUUUCACGUGGCGCCAGGAUAGUCUUCAAAUACAAAUGUGAUCAUGGCAACAUUCUGCUCAAAACUCUUUAUGUGGUUUUUCAGUUACUCUUAGAAUAAAUAUAGUUACGGCUUUGAAGUCCUCGGAUUGCCCAACUUUCUCGCCCCUUCACUAUACACUGAACUGGAGUUACAGAAGUACAAAGAGUAUGCAACAAUGGAAGAUAUGCCUGGCAAGUUCUGCUUUGGUGAUAGUAUAUCUCAGAAAAACACUCAGCUGGGAUGUGGCCAGAAGAAUGGCUGACACAGAGAUCUAUUCAAUAAACUUUUACGGAGGUGUUCAAUACAUGAAAGGACUCCUUGAAGGAUAUGCUCUAACAGUGUCCCGACUGCUGGCACUCUUUCUGAUUCCACAGCUGCUGGAGUGACUUAGCAGUUGGCUAGGCAUACCCUGAACUACAGAAGAUGUAUGCUGGGCCAGAAGCAGGCCUUCUUCCUGCAGACUUGGAAGGAGCUGAUGACAAAGGCCUGCCAACAGUGCU
Molecule: long non-coding RNA, 1177 nt
Organism: Lynx canadensis (Canada lynx)
Lineage: Eukaryota; Metazoa; Chordata; Mammalia; Carnivora; Felidae
Exons: 4
Source: RefSeq, a predicted model, not a curated record